Molecule: ribosomal RNA, 1372 nt
Filed under: uncultured bacterium
Lineage: Bacteria
Description: bacterial SSU rRNA
Rfam family: Bacterial small subunit ribosomal RNA
Source: RNAcentral
GAUGAACGCUGGCGGCGUGCCUAAUACAUGCAAGUCGAGCGAACGGACGAGAAGCUUGCUUCUCUGAUGUUAGCGGCGGACGGGUGAGUAACACGUGGAUAACCUACCUAUAAGACUGGGAUAACUUCGGGAAACCGGAGCUAAUACCGGAUAAUAUUUUGAACCGCAUGGUUCAAAAGUGAAAGACGGUCUUGCUGUCACUUAUAGAUGGAUCCGCGCUGCAUUAGCUAGUUGGUAAGGUAACGGCUUACCAAGGCAACGAUGCAUAGCCGACCUGAGAGGGUGAUCGGCCACACUGGAACUGAGACACGGUCCAGACUCCUACGGGAGGCAGCAGUAGGGAAUCUUCCGCAAUGGGCGAAAGCCUGACGGAGCAACGCCGCGUGAGUGAUGAAGGUCUUCGGAUCGUAAAACUCUGUUAUUAGGGAAGAACAUAUGUGUAAGUAACUGUGCACAUCUUGACGGUACCUAAUCAGAAAGCCACGGCUAACUACGUGCCAGCAGCCGCGGUAAUACGUAGGUGGCAAGCGUUAUCCGGAAUUAUUGGGCGUAAAGCGCGCGUAGGCGGUUUUUCAAGUCUGAUGUGAAAGCCCACGGCUCAACCGUGGAGGGUCAUUGGAAACUGGAAAACUUGAGUGCAGAAGAGGAAAGUGGAAUUCCAUGUGUAGCGGUGAAAUGCGCAGAGAUAUGGAGGAACACCAGUGGCGAAGGCGACUUUCUGGUCUGUAACUGACGCUGAUGUGCGAAAGCGUGGGGAUCAAACAGGAUUAGAUACCCUGGUAGUCCACGCCGUAAACGAUGAGUGCUAAGUGUUAGGGGGUUUCCGCCCCUUAGUGCUGCAGCUAACGCAUUAAGCACUCCGCCUGGGGAGUACGACCGCAAGGUUGAAACUCAAAGGAAUUGACGGGGACCCGCACAAGCGGUGGAGCAUGUGGUUUAAUUCGAAGCAACGCGAAGAACCUUACCAAAUCUUGACAUCCUUUGACAACUCUAGAGAUAGAGCCUUCCCCUUCGGGGGACAAAGUGACAGGUGGUGCAUGGUUGUCGUCAGCUCGUGUCGUGAGAUGUUGGGUUAAGUCCCGCAACGAGCGCAACCCUUAAGCUUAGUUGCCAUCAUUAAGUUGGGCACUCUAAGUUGACUGCCGGUGACAAACCGGAGGAAGGUGGGGAUGACGUCAAAUCAUCAUGCCCCUUAUGAUUUGGGCUACACACGUGCUACAAUGGACAAUACAAAGGGCAGCGAAACCGCGAGGUCAAGCAAAUCCCAUAAAGUUGUUCUCAGUUCGGAUUGUAGUCUGCAACUCGACUACAUGAAGCUGGAAUCGCUAGUAAUCGUAGAUCAGCAUGCUACGGUGAAUACGUUCCCGGGUCU